RNAcentral lists this ribosomal RNA (422 nucleotides) under Laparocerus squamosus tasarticus. RNAcentral describes it as "partial 16S ribosomal RNA". The record is from RNAcentral. Lineage: Eukaryota; Metazoa; Arthropoda; Insecta; Coleoptera; Curculionidae.
GGUAUUUUGACCGUGCAAAGGUAGCAUAAUCAUUAGUUUUUUAAUUGAAAGCUGGAAUGAAAGGUUGGAUGAAAAAUAAGCUGUCUCUAUCUAAUUUUAUUAGAAUUUUAUUUUUAAGUUAAAAAGCUUAAAUUUAAAUAGAAGACGAGAAGACCCUAUAGAGUUUAAUUUAUUUUUAAAAUAAGAUUAUUAGUAUUUAUUAUUUUUAUUAUAAUAAUGAAUUUAAUUGGGGUGAUUGAAAAAUUUAAUAAACUUUUUUUAUAUAUGAACAUUAAUUUAUGAUUUAUUGAUCCUUUUUUUAAGAUUAAAAGAUAAAAUUACCUUAGGGAUAACAGCGUAAUUUUUUUUAAGAGUUCAAAUCGAAAGAAAAGAUUGCGACCUCGAUGUUGGAUUAAAAUAAAAUUUUGGUGUAGAAGCUAAAA